CAGCAGUGGGGAAUAUUGCACAAUGGGCGCAAGCCUGAUGCAGCAACGCCGUGUGAGUGAAGAAGGUUUUCGGAUCGUAAAACUCUGUCCUAAGGGAAGAAACAAAUGACGGUACCUUAGGAGGAAGCCCCGGCUAACUACGUGCCCAGCAGCCGCGGUAAUACGUAGGGGGCAAGCGUUAUCCGGAAUCACUGGGCGUAAAGGGUGCGUAGGCGGCUUAGCAAGCCAGGGGUGAAAGGCAUUGGCUCAACCAAUGUAAGCCUUUGGAACUGUUAAGCUUGAGUGCAGGAGAGGUAAGUGGAAUUCCUAGUGUAGAGGUGAAAUUCGUAGAUAUUAGGAGGAACACCAGUGGCGAAGGCGACUUACUGGACUGUAACUGACGCUGAUGCACGAAAGCGUGGGUAGCGAACAGGAUUAGAUACCCUGGUAG
This 430-nucleotide ribosomal RNA is filed under the name uncultured bacterium. RNAcentral describes it as "bacterial SSU rRNA". It matches the Rfam family "Bacterial small subunit ribosomal RNA", at positions 349 to 793 of the family's 1533-position model. The record is from RNAcentral.